UUUCUUGUGCCUAAAAUUUCAGUGAAUACUGACGGUAGUUUAGGCAGUACAAAUGGGGUGAGUGUCGGUUCAAUUGAGCACAAAAUGGGGCUAAAAGGUUCAGCAACCUGUGUGAUGAACUAUGAUAAUGCUCAAGGUUUCUUGAUUGGCGAGCCUAAUCGCGGCUUAGUAUGCAUGUUCACUAUGAUGAACUACGAGCGUUUAGCUAUCGGUAUCCAAGGCUUAGGCAGCGCACAAGCAGCUUAUCAAAUGGCGGCCGAUUAUGCGAAAGAACGUCAUCAAGGCAUCGCCGCUGGCGGCUCACCCACUGGAAGUGAAUCUGAUCCUAUCAUUGUUCACGGUGAUGUGCGUCGUAUGUUGUUGACUAUUCGUGCGAUGACUGAAGCGGGUCGCGCUUUGUCUGUGUUUACUGGACAACAAUUGGAUUUAGCCAAAUAUGGCCAAGAUGAAGUGAAGGCCAAAGCGGCUCGCUAUGUUGGUCUAUUAACCCCAGUGGCUAAGGCAUUUUUAACCGAUCGCGGUUUAGAUGCAACGAUCAUGGCGCAGCAAGUCUUUGGUGGUCAUGGUUAUAUUCGUGAGACAGGUAUUGAACAAUUAGUACGAGAUACUCGUAUUGCACAGAUUUAUGAAGGCACCAACGGUAUUCAAGCGAUUGACUUUCUUGGUCGUAAAGUGACUGGAGACAACUUAGCCGCGUUAAAUGAGUUUGUCGCCGAUCUCAAAGCACAAAUGCGCGCAUUUUCCCAUGUAGAUGCUGUGAAAGUGGCUGCCGUGUGUGCUCGUUUAGAUGCGCUUGCCAUUGUUGCCGAAACCAUUAAUGGACAAAAAGUGGCCCAGCCAGCCCUGAUCAACGCGAGUGCUGUCGACUUUUUAGAUGCCUUUGGUUAUACACUCUAUGGUUUUUAUUGGUUAGCAAUGGUCGAUAAAGUUGCUAACCAUGAAGAUACUGCUUUUGCACAGCAGAAAACCUAUCUGGCUAAAUUCUAUUUUGAUAAGUUAUUGCCGAAAGCAGAUUAUCAUUUAGCACAGGUUCGUGCAGGUGAUACCAGCACAAUGGUAAUGCCUGCGGAUUUCUUUUAGCGCUAAUUAUACUUACGCUUAUUAAUUAAAAAGCACUGAAUAUUCAGUGCUUUUUAAUUAAUAAUUACUCAGGGGUAAUCUUGGAAUGAGCUUGAAUCGUAUCAGUCUCCGUUAGAGAUGCUUUGACUUCUAGCUUUGUCAUCAAUUGAGUUAAAAAGUCUGCGCUAAAAGGGGGCUUAUUUUGCUUUUUAAGCGCUGGGCUGAUGCCAUUUUCGAGUACAACAAACAAUAUAUCCUUAUGCUGUGGUAAUCGCAUAAAUCCUGCUAGGUUUGCGAUACCUUGCAUCGAGCCUGUUUUGGCAAAAAUCAGGUUUUUCAAUGGUGGUUUAGUGAAACCUGUUCGGUAUUUUAGUGUACCACUGACCCCAGAUUGGGGCAGACUGUUCAUUAAUUCUCUAAAGCGAUCAUCUUCAUAAAUUAACUUCAAUACUGAUGCUAACUGAUUAACACUCAAUAGGUUAUAUCGUGAAAGUCCAGAACCAUCGACAAUACUUGCAUUCGUUAAAUCAAUCCCUAAAUCGGUGAGAAUACGGCGCAUUGCAGCCGCACCAUGGGUGAAACUUCCCUGUGUACGGUAAUAGCUCUUUCCUAUUUGCUUGAACAAGCUAUCAGCAAUUAAGUUAUCCGAUUUAAGUAACAUUGUUUUGAGUAGUUCAGGUAAUGGCUGUGAGCUAUGGCUCGCAAUCAGUUUGGCUUUUUUAGGGAUGCUAUUGCCUAUGCGUACUUUACCCGAAAGUGGUGUUUCGGCUUUGAGUAUGGCUGUUAGGGUGUCUUGCGCAAACUGAGCUGGAUCAGUUACUGCAAUUGCGAGAGGUAUGGCUUCAGAUCCUGGAUAACAUCCUCGUAAGUGGUAGUUGUUUUGCCCUAAACGGACGAGAUCAAGCUGACAGAAAUCGCGAUUGGCUUGUCGAUCGAAUACGGCGUCACUAUUGACCUUUACCCCAUAACUGGUGGCGCGUAACACAACCUUUGAGGGCUCUUUUUCAUUGCUUGGGAUGAACUGACCGAAAACACAAUUUUGGUUGAUGAUGUAGCUCGACACAGGGGCUGCAUAGCAGAUGCCUAAAUCAUCCCAAACCCAACCCGGUGCUUGCAAUUGUUCUUGUUUAUCCCCAAUAAGAUACAAAUGACCAUCAAUGCCAUUAAUGCCUUGUUUCACUAAACUGGCAAAGAGGGCUUUUAAAUCCAAUUGUGUCAGGGUUGGAUCACCACUAAAACGUAAAUAAACACUCCCUGCAAUGUGGCCAUUACGGAGUGGUGCAUCGGUCCAUAAUUCAGUGACAUAACGAAACUCAGUCCCAAGUUCUGCCAUGGCGGUGACUGCUGUGAGAAUUUUUGUGUGCUGGCAGGAACCAACAGGGUAUCCGCCUGUUGACUAUAGAGAAUCUGAUUGUUCGCUAAAUCCAAUGCUAAUAAUGCGGUUUGUGAAUGUCGUGGGUUAAUAUCGGCGAUACUUUGGCUGAGUGUUGUAGUUCUAAGCUCAAUGCUGGGGAUAUUUGCUUGUGUAGCCUUAGUGCUUAUUGAGAAAAAACUCAAUAUUAACCCUAUGUAACACGUUGUUUUAGAUAACAUAUCCAUGUUAAUACUCAAUCAUGUUGCUCGGUUAGCGUUCAUUACUGCCAUCAUCUUUCUCCAUUAGACGAUAAAGCCUUAAGGUGACAAAAAGCACUAAUCCAAUAAAUAAUGGCAGGAUUAAUAAUCCAAGUUGAGUCUUAAAAUGGAAAAUUCCCCAAGCGAAGAGUAAUGUCAGCGCAAGGGUUAGCAAAAUUUUUUUGUUCAUAGUCUUUAUUUACUUAGUGCAAAGAGGU
Molecule: ribosomal RNA, 2888 nt
Filed under: Shewanella putrefaciens
Lineage: Bacteria; Pseudomonadati; Pseudomonadota; Gammaproteobacteria; Alteromonadales; Shewanellaceae
Description: 23S ribosomal RNA
Source: RNAcentral